ACGAACGCUGGCGGCGUGCUUAACACAUGCAAGUCGAACGGAAAGGCCCUGCUUUUGUGGGGUGCUCGAGUGGCGAACGGGUGAGUAACACGUGAGUAACCUGCCCUUGACUUUGGGAUAACUUCAGGAAACUGGGGCUAAUACCGGAUAGGAGCUCCUGCUGCAUGGUGGGGGUUGGAAAGUUUCGGCGGUUGGGGAUGGACUCGCGGCUUAUCAGCUUGUUGGUGGGGUAGUGGCUUACCAAGGCUUUGACGGUAGCCGGCCUGAGAGGGUGACCGGCCACAUUGGGACUGAGAUACGGCCCAGACUCCUACGGGAGGCAGCAGUGGGGAAUAUUGCACAAUGGGCGGAAGCCUGAUGCAGCAACGCCGCGUGCGGGAUGACGGCCUUCGGGUUGUAAACCGCUUUCGCCUGUGACGAAGCGUGAGUGACGGUAAUGGGUAAAGAAGCACCGGCUAACUACGUG
Molecule: ribosomal RNA, 466 nt
Filed under: uncultured bacterium
Lineage: Bacteria
Description: partial 16S ribosomal RNA
Rfam family: Bacterial small subunit ribosomal RNA
Source: RNAcentral